CACCAGCUAAGGUCCCAAAAUAUAUGUUAAGUGGAAAAGGAUGUGGCGUUGCCCAGACAACUAGGAUGUUGGCUUAGAAGCAGCCAUCAUUUAAAGAGUGCGUAAUAGCUCACUAGUCGAGUGACACUGCGCCGAAAAUGUACCGGGGCUAAACAUAUUACCGAAGCUGUGGAUUGUCCUUUGGACAAUGGUAGGAGAGCGUUCUAAGGGCGUUGAAGCAUGAUCGUAAGGACAUGUGGAGCGCUUAGAAGUGAGAAUGCCGGUGUGAGUAGCGAAAGACGGGUGAGAAUCCCGUCCACCGAUUGACUAAGGUUUCCAGAGGAAGGCUCGUCCGCUCUGGGUUAGUCGGGUCCUAAGCUGAGGCCGACAGGCGUAGGCGAUGGAUAACAGGUUGAUAUUCCUGUACCACCUAUAAUCGUUUUAAUCGAUGGGGGGACGCAGUAGGAUAGGCGAAGCGUGCGAUUGGAUUGCACGUCUAAGCAGUAAGGCUGAGUAUUAGGCAAAUCCGGUACUCGUUAAGGCUGAGCUGUGAUGGGGAGAAGACAUUGUGUCUUCGAGUCGUUGAUUUCACACUGCCGAGAAAAGCCUCUAGAUAGAAAAUAGGUGCCCGUACCGCAAACCGACACAGGUAGUCAAGAUGAGAAUUCUAAGGUGAGCGAGCGAACUCUCGUUAAGGAACUCGGCAAAAUGACCCCGUAACUUCGGGAGAAGGGGUGCUCUUUAGGGUUAACGCCCAGAAGAGCCGCAGUGAAUAGGCCCAAGCGACUGUUUAUCAAAAACACAGGUCUCUGCUAAACCGUAAGGUGAUGUAUAGGGGCUGACGCCUGCCCGGUGCUGGAAGGUUAAGAGGAGUGGUUAGCUUCUGCGAAGCUACGAAUCGAAGCCCCAGUAAACGGCGGCCGUAA
This 905-nucleotide ribosomal RNA is filed under the name Escherichia coli. RNAcentral describes it as "partial 23S ribosomal RNA". It matches the Rfam family "Bacterial large subunit ribosomal RNA", at positions 1033 to 1939 of the family's 2925-position model. The record is from RNAcentral. Lineage: Bacteria; Pseudomonadati; Pseudomonadota; Gammaproteobacteria; Enterobacterales; Enterobacteriaceae.